RNAcentral lists this ribosomal RNA (377 nucleotides) under uncultured bacterium. RNAcentral's name for it is "bacterial SSU rRNA". It matches the Rfam family "Bacterial small subunit ribosomal RNA", at positions 28 to 396 of the family's 1533-position model. The record is from RNAcentral.
GAUGAACGCUGGCGGCGUGCCUAAUACAUGCAAGUCGAACGCACAGCGAAAGGUGCUUGCACCUUUCAAGUGAGUGGCGAACGGGUGAGUAACACGUGGAUAACCUACCUCAAGGUUGGGGAUAACAUUUGGAAACAGAUGCUAAUACCGAAUAAAACUUAGUAUCGCAUGAUACCAGGUUAAAAGGCGCUACGGCGUCACCUAGAGAUGGAUCCGCGGUGCAUUAGUUAGUUGGUGGGUAAAGGCUUACCAAGACAAUGAUGCAUAGCCGAGUUGAGAGACUGAUCGGCCACAUUGGGACUGAGACAGGCCCAAACUCCUACGGGAGGCUGCAGUAGGGAAUCUUCCACAAUGGGCGAAAGCCUGAUGGAGCAACG